This 533-nucleotide ribosomal RNA is filed under the name Cortinarius raphanoides. RNAcentral's name for it is "eukaryotic LSU rRNA". The stretch from base 192 to 345 matches the Rfam family "5.8S ribosomal RNA". The record is from RNAcentral. Lineage: Eukaryota; Fungi; Basidiomycota; Agaricomycetes; Agaricales; Cortinariaceae.
GGUGAACCUGCGGAAGGAUCAUUAUUGAAAUAAACCUGAUGGGUUGUUGCUGGCUCUCCAGGGAGCAUGUGCACGCCUGUUCAUCUUUAUAUCUCCACCUGUGCACCUUUUGUAGACCCUCCCGGGGGUCUAUGUCGCUUCAUCUACCCCAAUGUAUGUUAAUAGAAUGUGUGUGCAUAUGAAAUCUAUACAACUUUCAGCAACGGAUCUCUUGGCUCUCGCAUCGAUGAAGAACGCAGCGAAAUGCGAUAAGUAAUGUGAAUUGCAGAAUUCAGUGAAUCAUCGAAUCUUUGAACGCACCUUGCGCUCCUUGGUAUUCCGAGGAGCAUGCCUGUUUGAGUGUCAUUAAUAUAUAAUCAACCCUCUUGUUUGAGUGGCUUGGAUGUGGGGGCUUGCUGGCCUCUUAAAAGGUUCAGCUCCCCUGAAAUGCAUUAGUGGAACGACCUGUUCAUUCAUUGGUGUGAUAACUAUCUACGCUAUUGAACGUGAGGCAGUUCAGCUUUCUAACUGUUCCUUGGACAAUUCAUUGUUGU